RNAcentral lists this ribosomal RNA (385 nucleotides) under uncultured bacterium. Its description in RNAcentral is "bacterial SSU rRNA". It matches the Rfam family "Bacterial small subunit ribosomal RNA", at positions 359 to 760 of the family's 1533-position model. The record is from RNAcentral.
GAAUAUUGGACAAUGGGCGAAAGCCUGAUCCAGCAACGCCGCGUGCGCGAUGAGGGCCUUCGGGUUGUAAAGCGCUUUUAGAGGAGAUGAGAAAGGACAGUAUCCUCAGAAUAAGCUUCGGCGAACUACGUGCCAGCAGCCGCGGUAAAACGUAGGAGGCUAGCGUUAUCAGGAUUUAUUGGGCGUAAAGCGCGUGCAGGCGGUUUGAUAAGUUGGAUGUGACAUCUCUCGGCUUAACUGGGAGCGGUCGUUCAAAACUAUCAGUCUAGAGUAUGGGAGAGGAAGGUGGAAUUCCGAGUGCAGCGGUCAAAUGCAUAUAUAUCCGGAGGAACACCAGUGGCGAAAGCGUCCAUCUAGAACAUUUCUGACUCUAAGACGCGAAAGC